ACAUCACUGACAAACUGAAAUCGUCCACCCACACAUACAGUGUUGUGAAGAAGGCACAACAGCGCCUCUUCAACUUCAGGAGGCUGAAUAAAUUUGGUUUGGCACCUAAAACCCUCACAAACUUCAACAGAUGCACAAUUGAGAGCAUCCUGUCGGGCUGUAUCACGGUCUGGUAUGGCUACUGCAUUGCCCACAACCACAGGGCUCUCCAGAGGGUUGUCGUGUCUUUGGCAUCAUUAAAGGCUAUCUUCUGUAUACCGUUGGGCCAGGAACUGAAAGGUAGAUCGAAUCCCCGAGCUGACAAGUGACACUGACUCUGAAUGGGAGCCCCCAGUGCCAAGGUGUCCAUCCCCCACUGAAGCUGGUUCAUCCAGCUCCUG
This is a long non-coding RNA of Oncorhynchus tshawytscha (Chinook salmon), 380 nucleotides long. NCBI's taxonomy places the organism in Eukaryota, Metazoa, Chordata, Actinopteri, Salmoniformes, Salmonidae. The record is from Ensembl.